GGGAAUGUGGCUCAGUGCUAGAGUACUUGCCUUGUAUACAUGAGGCCUUAGGUUCGAUUCCUCAGCACCA
RNAcentral lists this transfer RNA (70 nucleotides) under Dipodomys ordii (Ord's kangaroo rat). It matches the Rfam family "tRNA". From Rfam's summary of the family: Transfer RNA (tRNA) molecules are approximately 80 nucleotides in length. Their secondary structure includes four short double-helical elements and three loops (D, anti-codon, and T loops). Further hydrogen bonds mediate the characteristic L-shaped molecular structure. tRNAs have two regions of fundamental functional importance: the anti-codon, which is responsible for specific mRNA codon recognition, and the 3' end, to which the tRNAs corresponding amino acid is attached (by aminoacyl-tRNA synthetases). tRNAs cope with the degeneracy of the genetic code in two manners: having more than one tRNA (with a specific anti-codon) for a particular amino acid; and 'wobble' base-pairing, i.e. permitting non-standard base-pairing at the 3rd anti-codon position. Lineage: Eukaryota; Metazoa; Chordata; Mammalia; Rodentia; Heteromyidae. The record is from Rfam by way of RNAcentral.